This 433-nucleotide ribosomal RNA is filed under the name uncultured bacterium. RNAcentral's name for it is "partial 16S ribosomal RNA". It matches the Rfam family "Bacterial small subunit ribosomal RNA", at positions 29 to 507 of the family's 1533-position model. The record is from RNAcentral.
AACGAACGCUGGCGGCAUGCCUGACACAUGCAAGUCGAACGAGACCUUCGGGUCUAGUGGCGCACGGGUGCGUAACGCGUGGGAACCUGCCCUUAGGUUCGGAAUAACUCCCCGAAAGGGGUGCUAAUACCGGAUAAUGUCUUCGAACCAAAGAUUUAUCGCCUUUGGAUGGGCCCGCGUUGGAUUAGCUAGUUGGUAGGGUAAAAGCCUACCAAGGCGACGAUCCAUAGCUGGUCUGAGAGGAUGAUCAGCCACACUGGGACUGAGACACGGCCCAGACUCCUACGGGAGGCAGCAGUGGGGAAUAUUGGACAAUGGGCGAAAGCCUGAUCCAGCAAUGCCGCGUGAGUGAUGAAGGCCUUAGGGUUGUAAAGCUCUUUUACCCGGGAUGAUAAUGACAGUACCGGGAGAAUAAGCUCCGGCUAACUCCGUG